This is a non-coding RNA of Pelobates cultripes (western spadefoot toad), 243 nucleotides long. The record is from the annotation of a GenBank genome assembly. NCBI's taxonomy places the organism in Eukaryota, Metazoa, Chordata, Amphibia, Anura, Pelobatidae.
CCCCUUGUGUGUGGUCCGCCUGUGCAGUAAAUGGUUCGGUAAGCCCCAAUUACCGAGCCAUAUGGGAAAAAGCCAUGUACAAGUUAUUUUCACAGUCUGGGGACUCUGGGGACACAGUUUUAAAGGGGCAUUGUUCCAAUUCUCCCUGUGUCCCAAAAAUGUGCUUAAAGGGCCAGCACCAGUCCCAUAAAAGUCCAUAAGCCCCAAUAAUGUUUUUAAAGGGCCAUACACCCCGGGCCAUAG